UACGGAGGGCGCAAGCGUUGGUCGGAAUCACUGGGUGUAAAGCGCGUGUAGGCGGCUUAGCAAGUCGGAUGGGAAAUCCCGAGGCUCAACCUCGGGACUGCACUCGAAACUGCUUGGCUUGAGUCCCGGAGAGGGUGGCGGAAUUCCCGGUGUAGGGGUGAAAUCCGUAGAUAUCGUGCGGAUCACCUGUGGCGAAGGCGGCCACCUGGACGGUGACUGACGCUCAUACGCGAAAGCGUGGGAACCAAUCAGG
Molecule: ribosomal RNA, 253 nt
Filed under: uncultured bacterium
Lineage: Bacteria
Description: partial 16S ribosomal RNA
Rfam family: Bacterial small subunit ribosomal RNA
Source: RNAcentral